GAGAGAUGGAGGAGAGAUGAGGGAGAGAUAAGGGAGAGAUGGAGGAGAGAUGAGGGAGAGAUGGAGGAGAGUUGGAGGAGAGAUGGAGGAAAUGGAGGAGAGAUGAGGGAGAAAUGGAGGAAGACAUGGAUGAGUUAUGAGGGAGAGAUGGAGGAGAGAUGAGGGAGAGAUAGAGGAAGAGAUGGAGGAGAGAUGGAGGAGAGAUGAGGGAGAGAUGGAGGAGAGAUGAGGGAGAGAUGAAGGUGAGAUGAGGGAGAGAAGAGGGCAAGAUGGAGAGGUGGAGAAGAGAUGGAGAAGAGAUGAGGGAGAGAUGGAGGAAGAGAUGGAGGAGAGAUGGAGGAGAGAUGAGGGAGAGAUGAGGGAGAGAUGGAGGAGAGAUGAGUGAGGAGAUGGAGGAGAGAUGAGGGAGAGAUGGAGGAGAUUGAGGAGAGAUGGAGGA
Oncorhynchus tshawytscha (Chinook salmon) is the source of this 439-nucleotide long non-coding RNA. The record is from Ensembl. NCBI's taxonomy places the organism in Eukaryota, Metazoa, Chordata, Actinopteri, Salmoniformes, Salmonidae.